CUUUUUGACUCGGAUUGGCUGUUGCUGUGUUGCAUUGCUCAGCAUUUACAUAAAAUAGACCUCUGGUCUAUUCUGGCCCCGCCUAGCUGGCAACAUAAGGACUGUUGUCUCUUGUCGCUGUAAAACAGCCGCUCUGAUUGAAAUGAACGGCAGCUUGUCUCUUUGCCUCUCCUUCACUUAUAGUUAG
Molecule: long non-coding RNA, 187 nt
Organism: Thalassophryne amazonica
Lineage: Eukaryota; Metazoa; Chordata; Actinopteri; Batrachoidiformes; Batrachoididae
Exons: 3
Source: RefSeq, a predicted model, not a curated record